AUAUAAAUUGCCUGGGGAUCUUGUUAAAGUGCAGAUUCUACAUUUGUAACAAGCUCCCACAUAAUGUAGCU
Molecule: microRNA precursor, 71 nt
Filed under: Marmota monax (woodchuck)
Lineage: Eukaryota; Metazoa; Chordata; Mammalia; Rodentia; Sciuridae
Source: RNAcentral